AUGUUUGAUGUUCUAACGUGGACCCGUAAUCCGGGUUGCGGACAGUGUCUGGUGGGUAGUUUGACUGGGGCGGUCUCCUCCUAAAGAGUAACGGAGGAGCACGAAGGUUGGCUAAUCCUGGUCGGACAUCAGGAGGUUAGUGCAAUGGCAUAAGCCAGCUUGACUGCGAGCGUGACGGCGCGAGCAGGUGCGAAAGCAGGUCAUAGUGAUCCGGUGGUUCUGAAUGGAAGGGCCAUCGCUCAACGGAUAAAAGGUACUCCGGGGAUAACAGGCUGAUACCGCCCAAGAGUUCAUAUCGACGGCGGUGUUUGGCACCUCGAUGUCGGCUCAUCACAUCCUGGGGCUGAAGUAGGUCCCAAGGGUAUGGCUGUUCGCCAUUUAAAGUGGUACGCGAGCUGGGUUUAGAACGUCGUGAGACAGUUCGGUCCCUAUCUGCCGUG
RNAcentral lists this ribosomal RNA (440 nucleotides) under Salmonella enterica. RNAcentral's name for it is "partial 23S ribosomal RNA". It matches the Rfam family "Bacterial large subunit ribosomal RNA", at positions 2210 to 2649 of the family's 2925-position model. The record is from RNAcentral. Lineage: Bacteria; Pseudomonadati; Pseudomonadota; Gammaproteobacteria; Enterobacterales; Enterobacteriaceae.